GUUUUUGUAGGUUUGUGAAAGAAGAGUGUAGGUAUCUAAAAAAUUCAGAAGAGAAUUUAAAUCUCCAAAUCACAGAUGAAAUUUGGGAAAAUCUUGAUAGUAGAAUGGAUGAUAGAAGAAUUUCGGGUUAUAGAAAUGAGGCAAGAGACUGCUGAAGAGGGAGAGGAAAUAAGGAGCAUAUUAAAAGUCAUUGCAACCACUGGAAAGUUCUGGUAUGCUACAAAUUUUGUUAUCAACCUAAUCCUUAUAUCUCAAUUCUCAAAGUCAACAACAUUUGUAUCUUUAUGAAUUUUAUGAUUAGUAUUAUUAAUUUGACAUAUGCGAACACUGCAGUCAUGAUUGGGAGAAACUGAGAAGCAUGUUGUCUCUUCAUUUAAAGCGAGCAUACCCAAUUUACAAACUUAAACAAGUUUUUGAUGCAACAUUGACUUGAAUGUGACAAGUUUUAUUAUCUUUAUACAGUUAUAUGAAUUGUUGCUACAGGUUAUUUCUGAGUAUCCACAAGCAAAAAUGACAAUAAUGGAACAAAAAGUUUCAUUAGGGGAGACGCAUGCUGAGUUGGUGAAAAGGUUGGAUGAUGAUGAUGGAAUAGCAGAAGAUGUAGAGGAGGUGGAGAAUGAUAAUUUAAGUAGUAAAUCUUUUGCUAGUGUUGAAGAUUUGGAGCAAGGAAAAUUACCCCCUGAAGAAAUUUUAUCACUUCCAAUGUUUAAGGUUAUGCUAACAAUUGGAGUAGGGUAAUGGCUAAUUGCUGAUAGAUUAGAAUGUUUCUACUCCUAAGGUCCUAUAGUACUUCAAGUACAUUACAACGAAGACUACAUUUGACUCAAGAGAAUCAUAUUCCAAUUGUUGGAGGUGUUAGCAGCCAAAGAUGCUAUUGCAGUGUUGCAACCCCUGAACCUGCUCGACUCAAAAGAUGCAAUUGCAAACAAGAUUAAGCGUUGUAAGACAGAUUCUUUUCCUGGGUUGGAGUUUGACAAUGGUGAUAGGCCUGAAUGCAAUAAUCUUCUUUCCAUAUACCAAAUCAUUACAAACAGGACAAAGGAGGAAGUUGCACAGGAAUGUCAAGACAUGAAUUAGGGCACUUUUAAACUUGUUCUUACUGAUGCUUUAAUUUAUCAUCUCCAUCCAAUCCAGACUCAGUAUGAGGAAAUCAUGUCAGAUAAAGGUUAUUGUGAUGAGGUUUUAGCAGAAGGUGUAAGCAAAGCUGCAGAGAUAGCAAAUUCUACUCUCAGUAAUGUGUAUCAGGCAAUGGGAUUUUUAAAGAGAUGAACAAACAAUAUAUCAUAAAUUGACCAAUUUUUUUUAGAGAUAGCAGAUUCAAGAAAUGGUUAACUUUCCAGAUUUGACCAUUGGUGGAGCCCACCAAUAUUAUCAAGGACCAUCCCAGGCUGCAAUAUUCCUGGCGUGAUCUUGUUUCAAAGGAUAAUAAUAAUGCUCUUACCAUGGUAAUCUAUAUAAUUGUCUUCCUAAUACAGAAGGAAGGUUUAUUGAUCAGGGGUGUUUCGCAAGAUAUUCAAUCACUCCAUUUUUCAGUGAUAAUCAGACAAUUGAUAUCACAAAUCUACUAAAAGAUGCACCAGUGUUCAAGGGGGCAGUCAACUACAUUAGGUUGGAUAUAAACAUAACUAUCUGGACAGUUAAAAGUUUUUAGAGAGUUGUACCAAUUCUGGAACUCUCAGUCUACCAACAUUAGAGUUUAAUUGGGUGAUUGAAGGUGAUUUUGGUUCUUGGAACGAGACUCAAGAUAUCAUAUUUUGGCAUGGCUAGAAGCUUCGGAGGAAACGAGACUCAAGCAAAAGUAAACACACAGAGAGUUGUUGGCACAUAGUAAGCUAGAUGAUGCAAUUGUAUAUAAAUGAGUUCAUUUUUUUAUAACAUUUACUCACUUUUGGAAUAAUUAUUUGUAUUUGACAUAUUAGUGAAAUGAAUUAUCUUUGUUA
Lactuca sativa (garden lettuce) is the source of this 1940-nucleotide non-coding RNA. NCBI's taxonomy places the organism in Eukaryota, Viridiplantae, Streptophyta, Magnoliopsida, Asterales, Asteraceae. The record is from RefSeq and is a predicted model, not a curated record.